Molecule: unclassified non-coding RNA, 353 nt
Filed under: soil metagenome
Description: partial contains 5.8S ribosomal RNA, internal transcribed spacer 2, and large subunit ribosomal RNA
Rfam family: 5.8S ribosomal RNA (bases 1-120)
Source: RNAcentral
GAUGAAGAACGUAGUGAAAUGCGAUAAGUAAUGUGAAUUGCAGAAUUCCGUGAAUCAUCGAAUCUUUGAACGCACAUUGCGCCCCCUGGCAUUCCGGGGGGCAUGCCUGUCCGAGCGUCAUUUCUGCCCUCCAGCCCGGCUGGGUGUUGGGCGCUGUCCCCCCGGGGACACGCCCCAAAGGCAGUGGCGGCGCCGCGUCGGGUCCUCGAGCGUAUGGGGCUUUGUCACCCGCUCGGGACGGACUCGUCGGCGCUGGUCUUCCUCCAGGCGACCCUUCGGGGCUCGUCUUCCUUCGGUUGACCUCGGAUCAGGUAGGGUUACCCGCUGAACUUAAGCAUAUCAAUAAGCGAGGA